AUGGCACUCUCUCUGUCUGCAGUGACUGGAGGCGUUUCGGCCAAGGCAUUCCAACUACGCGCCUGGAUUCAAGGACGUGAAGUGCUGAUGCUUGUGGAUUCCGGCAGCUCCAAUUCCUUCGUCGAUGCUCAACUGGCGAAGUCCCUCUCCGGUGUUCAGAGUCUGCCAAAGUCAGGGCGUGUUCGUGUGGCUGACGGAGGAGAGUUAAUCUGCACUGCAGCUGUGCCAAGUUGUGCCUGGUACUCGCAAGGACACGAAUUUUUCACAGAUCUGAAAGUGCUCACGCUCGGGAAUUAUGAUGCAAUUUUGGGGAUGGACUGGCUAGAAGAGCACAGUCCUAUGGUUGUCGAAUGGCGUGCUCGGUUCAUUGAGAUACCCACACCAGCAGGACCCCUCCGUCUCACGGGCCAAGAUGCUUCAUCCACUCGCUGUGAAUCCAUCAAUUUCGUGCAGCUGCAAGGGCUCUGUAGUCAAGGUUCAGUUUCUCACAUCAUACACUUGUGCGUGGUUGCUCCUGAUGCUGAAACCACCACUCCGAUCCCUGACUGCAUCCAGAAAGUAAUUGAGGAAUUUCCUGACAUUUUCGCGGAACCCACUGGCCUUCCUCCCAGGCGUGCCUGUGACCACAGAAUUCCAGUGAUUCCAGGCGCACAACCAGUGAAUGUGCGUCCAUACAGACACAAGCCUGAACUCAAAUCUGAGAUCGAGAAACAAGUAGAAGAAUUGCUCAGAUCAGGCAUCAUUCAAAGAAGCACCAGCCCUUUUUCUUCGCCGGUGAUUUUGGUCAAGAAAAAAGAUGGAACCUGGAGGUUAUGCAUCGACUACAGGCACCUCAACGCACUUACAGUCGUCGCCAAGCACCCCGUGCCCAUCAUAGAAGAACUCUUGGACGAGCUCCACGGCGCAGCCUGGUUUUCCAAGCUCGACCUUCGGGCCAGAUAUCAUCAAAUACGACUGGCUCCAAGGGAAGAAUACAAGACAGCGUUUCAAACACACCAAGGGCACUUUGAAUUCAAAGUGGUGUCAUUCGGGUUGGCGGGAGCGCCAGCCACCUUCAUCGGGGCAGUCACAACUACACUCCAACCAGUCAACCGUGUCUGCGUGAUUUCCUUCUUUGACGAUAUUCUGAUGUUCAGUGCUACUCUGCAAGCACACGUUGCCCACUUGCGCCAAGUCCUCACACUGCUCCGGCGAGACAGCUGGUACGUCAAAAUCAGCAAAUGCGCUUUCGGGCAACAACAAGUCUCUUACCUGGGGCACACAAUCAGCGCCCAGGGUGUCUCCACAGACCCGUCCAAGAUCACUGCAGUCGCCAAUUGA
RNAcentral lists this ribosomal RNA (1320 nucleotides) under Triticum aestivum (bread wheat). RNAcentral describes it as "partial small subunit ribosomal RNA". Lineage: Eukaryota; Viridiplantae; Streptophyta; Magnoliopsida; Poales; Poaceae. The record is from RNAcentral.